CAGUGCCUCAGCUCUCGGUCUCCGUCCUCCCGGAGUGCAGCUGUACAGAAGCAUCAAUAAAGAGAAGAGGACUGGGACACAAGAAAAUGUGACCAGGAAGUUCGUCACUGAGCCAACACGAUUGGCUGGACAAAGGUCUUGAUUAACAAACCAAAGAGACUUGGUAGAUGCCUCCCAGACCACCACAUUCAUUCCUCUCAAGUUUGUGCUUUAUGAUGCAAAAUGUAAAUGAGUGUGUUUCUGAGUUGUAUGCCUAUCAUCAUGAUGCACUUAUUACACAGAAUAAAAGCUACAAUAAAUUUGGA
Long non-coding RNA from Cynoglossus semilaevis (tongue sole), 305 nucleotides. RefSeq lists it as uncharacterized. The transcript is spliced from 2 exons. Lineage: Eukaryota; Metazoa; Chordata; Actinopteri; Pleuronectiformes; Cynoglossidae. The record is from RefSeq and is a predicted model, not a curated record.